AGCAGCCGCGGUAAUUCCAGCUCCAAUAGCGUAUAUUAAAGUUGUUGCAGUUAAAAGCUCGUAGUUGAAUUUCGGGACCAAUCUGCCGGUCGUGCCUCCGGUACGCACUGGUUUUAUUGGUUUCUCCCUUCUGACGAACCAUGAUGUCAUUAAUUUGGUGUCAUGGGGAAUCAGGACUGUUACUUUGAAAAAAUUAGAGUGUUUAUAGCAGGCUCACGCUUGAAUACAUUAGCAUGGAAUAAUGAAAUAGGACGUUUGACCCUAUUUUGUUGGUCUCUAGGAUCGACGUAAUGAUUAAUAGGGAUAGUUGGGGGCAUUAGUAUUCAAUUGUCAGAGGUGAAAUUCUUGGAUUUAUUGAAGACUAACUACUGCGAAAGCAUUUGCCAAGGAUGUUUUCAUUAAUCAAGAACGAAAGUUAGGGGAUCGAAGACGAUCAGAUACCGUCGUAGUCUUAACCAUAAACUAUGCCGACUAGGGAUCGGAUGAUGUUAAUUUUUUAAUGACUCAUUCGGCGCCUUAC
Molecule: ribosomal RNA, 520 nt
Filed under: uncultured Glomus
Lineage: Eukaryota; Fungi; Glomeromycota; Glomeromycetes; Glomerales; Glomeraceae
Description: SSU rRNA
Rfam family: Eukaryotic small subunit ribosomal RNA
Source: RNAcentral